UUCCCGGGGACCAGUACCUUUAG
RNAcentral lists this non-coding RNA (23 nucleotides) under Cricetulus griseus (Chinese hamster). Lineage: Eukaryota; Metazoa; Chordata; Mammalia; Rodentia; Cricetidae. The record is from RNAcentral.